UACGAAGGGGGCUAGCGUUGCUCGGAAUCACUGGGCGUAAAGGGCGCGUAGGCGGUCGUGACAAGUCACUUGUGAAAUCUCCGGGCUUAACUCGGAACGGUCAAGUGAUACUGUCGGACUAGAGUACAGAAGGGGCAACUGGAAUUCUCGGUGUAGCGGUGAAAUGCGUAGAUAUCGAGGAGGAACACCUGCGGCGAAGGCGGGUUGCUGGGCUGAUACUGACGUGAGGCGCGAAAAGCCAGGGGGAGCGAAACGGGG
RNAcentral lists this ribosomal RNA (258 nucleotides) under uncultured bacterium. RNAcentral describes it as "partial 16S ribosomal RNA". It matches the Rfam family "Bacterial small subunit ribosomal RNA", at positions 524 to 778 of the family's 1533-position model. The record is from RNAcentral.